GCCGGUCCCGGUGGCAUGUACCUGUAGUCCCAGCCACUCGGGAGGCUGAGGUGGGAGGAUCGCUUGAGCCCAGGAGUUCUGGGCUAUAGUGCGCUAUGCCGAUUGAGUGUCUGUACUAAUUCAGCAUCAAUAUGGUGACCUCCGGGGAGCGGGGGAUCACCAGCUUGCCUAAGGAGGGGUGAACCGGCCCAGGUCGGAAAUGGAGCAGGUCAGUAGUAGGAUCACGACUGUGAAUAGCCACUGCACUCCAGCCUGGGCAACAUAGUGAGACCCCGUCUCU
This 280-nucleotide signal recognition particle RNA is filed under the name Aotus nancymaae (Ma's night monkey). RNAcentral's name for it is "Metazoan signal recognition particle RNA (ENSANAG00000004499.1)". It matches the Rfam family "Metazoan signal recognition particle RNA". From Rfam's summary of the family: The signal recognition particle (SRP) is a universally conserved ribonucleoprotein. Lineage: Eukaryota; Metazoa; Chordata; Mammalia; Primates; Aotidae. The record is from RNAcentral.